UUACAAGCAACAUGGAUUGUGGACAUAAGAAAGCAGCAGUAGCAGGAAGCCUGUAAGCUGUCAACCUCAGAAACAGGAAAGAAUCUUCUGCCUAGAAACAGACCUGAUGAUUGAUAUGAAUGUAGGAAACUAAGUAUGUGUUUUACCCUGAAUGCUUAUGGGCCAGUGAAAUUCUACACCUGCACAUCUGAGAGGCCUUGAGCCACUCUCAGGUAACAAUAGAUAGAGGCAGAAGUGCUGUGCCAAAAAGACAUGAUGGUAGAGCACUAUCUUACCUUUUUACAAAUAUUUAAAACGUCAUGUUGUCUGGGAAGAGAAGCCAAAUUAAACAUUACCUAACCCUCCAGUGCUUUAGCAUUGGUCACAGAUGUCCUAGAAGAGAACAUGCUGAGGUGCUUCAUGGCCAUAAAGCAAAUGUGUUCCACUUGAUAGUAAAACCACAGCAGGAAGAAGUUCAAACUGGAGUUUGAAGUUAAUACACAAGUUAAUGUGAAAUGCAGCUGUGCAACAUUUCUAGAAUACUAGUACCAGAGAGGAUGUUUCAAUGAAGGGGUGACCUCCAAAGGUCUCAAGGACCAAUGCAUUUAACUAGACAGAAGUGUGUCCAGAAAGAGGAACUGUAAAAGGAAAAUAAACAGUGGUCCUGCAAAUUCAUUCCUUGUAUAUGUCAAAUUACUUAUGCUCUUCAUCAUUUUAGGAGCUUGUGGGGUUUUUUAUUUUUCUAUGUGAUGAGAGAGGCCUGCUUCUGCAUUCUGCUUGAGUGUUACCUUCAAAACAUGAAUGCUGAUUCCCAAACUACAGUUUCUUUCCUUAAGUGGCAUUGAAAAACCAAGGAAGAGCAAAACCAGAAGCAAGAGAGAGUGGAACUCACAGACUGACAAUA
Long non-coding RNA from Manacus vitellinus (golden-collared manakin), 883 nucleotides. RefSeq lists it as uncharacterized. The record is from RefSeq and is a predicted model, not a curated record. NCBI's taxonomy places the organism in Eukaryota, Metazoa, Chordata, Aves, Passeriformes, Pipridae. The transcript is spliced from 3 exons.